UAAAUCUUGACAGAUAUGCUCUAGAACCAUCUGGUCCUAAUGAGUUUAGUGCAACUCUAACGCCAAACGGGUU
This 73-nucleotide transfer RNA is filed under the name Synechococcus phage S-PM2. RNAcentral describes it as "tRNA-Lys". Lineage: Duplodnaviria; Heunggongvirae; Uroviricota; Caudoviricetes; Pantevenvirales; Kyanoviridae. The record is from RNAcentral.